CCCCCGCCCCGCGCGGCGCAGGAGCUCAGUCCGAGUCAGGGCGGUGGUUCACUACAAAACUGCUUUAAUUUGGAAAAUAUUCAAAACACAAGGUAACGACGCAGCCCGGUGGCUCGGGUAAGCAGGUCUAGGAACCGCACCCCCGGUGAGCGCACGUCAAGUCACAGGAAACCAACAAAAAAUGUUUGUAAAAGUCAGGAAACAAGAACACACACGCACGUCCAAAACCAGAAAGAUGAACGACCCCUGACGCCUUCCCGAGGUUCACAGGCUGCUGACCCGGGCCGCGGGAUUCACUUCCUCCGACCGGUGCGGCCUGGAAACCCAAGCCCUGGGGGCCGCCGAGGAGCAAGGCAGCCACUCUGGGGCGUCAGGGGCCUCCCCGGGGACACAGGGGCCCGCACGGCCCCGCAGCCCACGCCAGCUCCCCGGCGCACCUGCCCUCCAGCUCCAGACUCACGGUGGACAGGGCUCCGCUUUCUGGAGGAAGAAGACGACCCUGUGUCACGCGUCCACAUGAGAUGCCAAGACCCUGGCCUCUCUCUGGUGGGAUUCCCAGGAGCGAGACCCACCAGCGGGAGCCCUCAGAACCCACCCACGCUGCUCACGUCCCCGGGCCCACUGAGGCACCAACGCUGCCCACGGUGCCGAGCAGACACACGGGGCUGCAGCCAGGGGCCUCACAGAAGCACUAAGGCCCUGGGCCCCCUCCAUCCCACUCACCGUCUGCAGCCCCACCCUCCCCUUCAGCUGGCUCAGGCCAGGCCAGCUGCUCUCAGACCCUCCACCCCUACCCCUCUGCAGUGCCUCCUUGUCAGGGGCUCCCCUGGGUGCCCACCCACCUUCUAAGGCCCUGGCCCCAGUGGUGUCCGGGGGCCUCUGAACGCUGGUUCUGAUCGGCUAGAGGUCCCGACAUUUGUGCCCAGGACAGCAUGGAGGAGGGGGCCUGGUCCUCCCCAGACCCAGGAAGGCCGCUUUCUGGGCACACAGUCCGUGCCUCACCUGGCUUGUUCACUCGACACACCUCAUCCCAGGUGUAGUCAGCAAGGUUCACGGGCUGGAUCACCCAGGGGUCUGUCACCAGCUUCUCCAAGGUGGUGCGCUGCUCAGGGACAGGCUGCAGCAGCCCAGAUAUGAGGUGCAUGAGAGCUGGAGACACAAAGACCCCCCUGGGCAUGUGGCCAGAAGACUGACAGUGGGUCCGGGCUGGGCUCAAGCGGACCAGGUCUCAAAACUUCGGGUCCUGGCUCUGCGUACCAUGAGCACCGGACUGGGCGGCCAGUGGCCUGGAACCUCCACACCUGAUGAGACCUAGGGGCUCGGGCAUAUGGGCCUGGCCGUGCCCCGAGAUGCUCGUCCCCUCUGAAAGCGUGGGGUUCAGGACCCCACCUCGCUCAGCCUGUUCUCAGGGCUCUGGACACGCAGAGCCUCAAAUGACCCUGGGUUUGUACAACAUGAAGGGCAGGAGACAGCCGCAGGCAAAGCCUUCAUCGUCCCCCCAGAAGGAAGCACAGCCCCAGCCCCAGGUCUAGAUUUGGGUCCCACUUCCUGUGACGGUGCAGGCAUCUCCAACCAGGGCUGCUCUGAGCCUCAGCAUCCCUGAGGGGAGCCCUGGGAACCACGAGGGAACACGUGGGGUGGCUCUGUGGGGGGUGCAGCAUGCUGCAGAGGGCGUGCUCCCCGGGAGCCCAGGACCUUGGCAAAGCCCGAAGGAUCCUCUUCUAGGCUGCCACGGACUGAACUGCCUCCAUAGAGUGGAGCCCUAACCCCCGGUGGCCCCUGGGAGGUAAGCAGGGUCACAAGAGAUCAUGAAGGUAGGGCCCCAGGAUGGAAUUAGUGCCCUUGUAAGAAGAGAGACAGGGGCGCCUGAGGGGCUCAGAUGCCUAACUGUCCGCCCCGGCUCAGGUCAUGGUCCCAGGGCCCUGGGAUCGAGUCCCACGUCGGGCUCCCUGCCCAGCGAGGAGUCUGCUUCUCCCUCUCCCUCUGCCUUACUCCCCACUCAUCUGCACUCACACACUUUCAAAUAAAUACAAUCUUAAAAAAAAUUA
Long non-coding RNA from Canis lupus familiaris (dog), 2048 nucleotides. RefSeq lists it as uncharacterized. NCBI's taxonomy places the organism in Eukaryota, Metazoa, Chordata, Mammalia, Carnivora, Canidae. The record is from RefSeq and is a predicted model, not a curated record. The transcript has 2 exons.